RNAcentral lists this ribosomal RNA (253 nucleotides) under uncultured bacterium. RNAcentral's name for it is "partial 16S ribosomal RNA". It matches the Rfam family "Bacterial small subunit ribosomal RNA", at positions 524 to 776 of the family's 1533-position model. The record is from RNAcentral.
UACAGAGGUCCCAAGCGUUAUCCGGAUUUAUUGGGCGUAAAGCGUCCGUAGGUGGUUAAUCAAGUCUAUUGUCAAAGCCUGGGGCUUAACCCUGGAGAGGCGGUGGAAACUGGUUGACUUGAGUGCGGUAGGGGCAGAGGGAAUUCCCAGUGUAGCGGUGAAAUGCGUAGAUAUUGGGAAGAACACCGGUGGCGAAAGCGCUCUGCUGGGCCUGCACUGACACUGAGGGACGAAAGCUAGGGGAGCGAAAGGG